GGAAGAAAGCUUGCUUUCUUUGCUGGCGACCGGCGCACGGGUGAGUAACACGUAUCCAACCUGCCCUUUACUCGGGGAUAGCCUUUCGAAAGAAAGAUUAAUACCCGAUAGCAUAAUGAUUCCGCAUGGUUUCAUUAUUAAAGGAUUCCGGUAAAGGAUGGGGAUGCGUUCCAUUAGGUUGUUGGUGAGGUAACGGCUCACCAAGCCUUCGAUGGAUAGGGGUUCUGAGAGGAAGGUCCCCCACAUUGGAACUGAGACACGGUCCAAACUCCUACGGGAGGCAGCAGUGAGGAAUAUUGGUCAAUGGGCGCUAGCCUGAACCAGCCAAGUAGCGUGAAGGAUGAAGGCUCUAUGGGUCGUAAACUUCUUUUAUAUAAGAAUAAAGUGCAGUAUGUAUACUGUUUUGUAUGUAUUAUAUGAAUAAGGAUCGGCUAACUCCGUGCCAGCAGCCGCGGUAAUACGGAGGAUCCGAGCGUUAUCCGGAUUUAUUGGGUUUAAAGGGAGCGUAGGUGGACUGGUAAGUCAGUUGUGAAAGUUUGCGGCUCAACCGUAAAAUUGCAGUUGAUACUGUCAGUCUUGAGUACAGUAGAGGUGGGCGGAAUUCGUGGUGUAGCGGUGAAAUGCUUAGAUAUCACGAAGAACUCCGAUUGCGAAGGCAG
This 659-nucleotide ribosomal RNA is filed under the name uncultured Bacteroidales bacterium. RNAcentral's name for it is "bacterial SSU rRNA". It matches the Rfam family "Bacterial small subunit ribosomal RNA", at positions 70 to 724 of the family's 1533-position model. The record is from RNAcentral. Lineage: Bacteria; Pseudomonadati; Bacteroidota; Bacteroidia; Bacteroidales.